UACGAAGGGGGCGAGCGUUGUUCGGAAUUACUGGGCGUAAAGGGCGCGUAGGCGGCCCCUUUUGUCGCGUGUGAAAGCCCCGGGCUCAACCUGGGAGGUGUGCGCGAAACGGGGGGGCUUGAGUUCGGGAGAGGAGCGUGGAAUUCCCAGUGUAGAGGUGAAAUUCGUAGAUAUUGGGAAGAACACCGGUGGCGAAGGCGGCGCUCUGGACCGAGACUGACGCUGAGGCGCGAAAGCGUGGGGAGCAAACAGG
Molecule: ribosomal RNA, 253 nt
Filed under: uncultured bacterium
Lineage: Bacteria
Description: partial 16S ribosomal RNA
Rfam family: Bacterial small subunit ribosomal RNA
Source: RNAcentral